This 82-nucleotide transfer RNA is filed under the name Firmicutes bacterium CAG:176. It matches the Rfam family "tRNA". From Rfam's summary of the family: Transfer RNA (tRNA) molecules are approximately 80 nucleotides in length. The record is from Rfam by way of RNAcentral. Lineage: Bacteria; Bacillati; Bacillota.
GCGGGCGUGGUGGAAUUGGUAGACUCGAUGGAUUUAGGUUCCAUUGCCAACAGGCGUGCGGGUUCGAGUCCCGCCGCCCGCA